UCUCCGUUGGUGAACCAGCGGAGGGAUCAUUACAGGACUCGCAAGACUCCUACAACCCUGUGAACUUAACUAUAAGCACGUUGCUUCGGCGGGUGUCUCGGAGGGGGUUCUCCCUCCCCGAGACGCUAAACCCACCGGCAGCCUACUAUACUCUGUCUCUUUGCGUUGGCAUCUCGAGUACAAUCAAACAAGUUAAAGCUUUCAACAACGGAUCUCUUGGUUCUG
Molecule: unclassified non-coding RNA, 225 nt
Filed under: plant metagenome
Description: partial contains small subunit ribosomal RNA, internal transcribed spacer 1, and 5.8S ribosomal RNA
Source: RNAcentral